UGUUUUUUUUUGUUUGCUGUUAAUCAGAAUUAAGGAGAAGUAUCCUCAAGCAUUUGAUGACAUAUGCCUGUAUUCUGAGGUGUCCUACUUGCUAGCACAUUGCACAUUUCGACUCCCAUCCAGAAGGUUCAUUCAGGAGUUGUUUCAAGAUGUGCAGUUCUUACAGAUGCAUGAAGAGGCGGAGGCUAUUUUAGCAACACCAACAAAGCAACCAGUAACUGAUGUAUCAGCUGAAUCCUGACCUCUGUCUCACACAGUUCAUUGCAUACAGGCUUCCUGGAAUUCUCAGACAUCUUCCAAUUGACCGGAUAAUAAAGUUUGGAGCAUCACCUUUUAGACUGUUCCAGAAGCUACUGGUACCUGAAGAAUGAACUGAAAAACUUUUUCUUCCUCAACCAAUUACUGCCCUAGUCUAUGGAGUCCCUUGGGGAUUUAUGAAACAUUAUGUAGUUCUAAUAAUAGUAAUUAUCAGUAUAUGCAAGAGCCGAGCACUGAACACCUCCACAAGUUUUCAUUUCAUUUUUACCU
Non-coding RNA from Meleagris gallopavo (turkey), 528 nucleotides. NCBI's taxonomy places the organism in Eukaryota, Metazoa, Chordata, Aves, Galliformes, Phasianidae. The record is from RefSeq and is a predicted model, not a curated record.